RNAcentral lists this ribosomal RNA (460 nucleotides) under uncultured bacterium. RNAcentral's name for it is "partial 16S ribosomal RNA". It matches the Rfam family "Bacterial small subunit ribosomal RNA", at positions 338 to 795 of the family's 1533-position model. The record is from RNAcentral.
CCUACGGGAGGCAGCAGUGAGGAAUAUUGGUCAAUGGGCUUACGCCUGAACCAGCCAAGUCGCGUGAGGGAAGACUGCCCUAUGGGUUGUAAACCUCUUUUGUCAGGGAGCAACGCCGGCUACGUGUAGCCGGACUGAGAGUACCUGAAGAAAAAGCAUCGGCUAACUCCGUGCAAGCAGCCGCGGUAAUACGGAGGAUGCGAGCGUUAUCCGGAUUUAUUGGGUUUAAAGGGUGCGUAGGCGGAAUGCCAAGUCAGCGGUAAAAUCGCGGGGCUCAACCUCGCUCCGCCGUUGAAACUGGCGUUCUUGAGUGGGCGAGAAGUAUGCGGAAUGCGGGGUGUAGCGGUGAAAUGCAUAGAUAUCACGCAGAACUCCGAUUGCGAAGGCAGCAUACCGGCGCCCAACUGACGCUGAAGCACGAAAGCGUGGGUAUCGAACAGGAUUAGAUACCCCAGUAGUC